GGCGGCGGUGGUUGGCGUCAGGCUGUGGACGAAGAGGCGGUCUCGGUGGACACACUUGUUGGAGCUCGGCAGCAGCCUUCUCCCGGGUAGGCGCCUGGGGGCUGAAUCUCUGGUCCACCCUGUGUCACCUGCACCUGGUACACCCCAGGGCGGGCCCCUGGGUGCCGGAACAGACAACAGCCAGGUGACGCUGUGGCCUAGGCCCAGUCUAGUUACCCGGAGCCCUGGGAGGGGUGGGGAGGCAGACCCUGCCCAGGGCCAGUGCCUGGAGCAUGGUUGCUGUGGAUGUGGCAGAGGCUUGCCUGAGAUGUGGGCUAGGCCCUUCCAGUGGGUCAGGUCUGGGGUGGUGCCCAGGGUUGUGCACCCUCAGGCUGCUGCCCAGUGGACCAGUGGCCUGUCAGCCCCGACUGGCGUUCACGGGGUCCCAGCAUGGGUGUGUGGGCGGCUGACCCAGGCUCUUAUGAUGCUGUGGCUGUUGUUCGUCCAUUGUCCCAUUAAUGCCAAGCUGGUAGGACCCACCUGGCUGGCUGUGUUCUGCAUGACCCGAGGGCCCACUGGGGUUCUGGAAGAGGAUGGAGACCAUCCCUGCUUGGCUGUGAUUCCGUCCUCUUGACCUGUGGUGGCCGUGACCUGAGGUGGGGCCUCUGGGAGCAGGCGCCUCCUCUUUCCUCCCCCAUGGCGGGCACCUGCCUGUCCACCUCUGAAUCUGGGUGUCAGCAUCAAGGUAGGAGUGCAGGGCCGGCUUGUUAACUGGGAUUCUGUCCAGCCCAGCCAGUGUCAGCGUGGCCCAGGGGCCACCACGAGCCCCUGGUCCCGCUUCCCUCCUGGUUCCGGGCUCCAGCUACGGGCCACGUCGAUCUUCACACGACUCUGGACUGCUGGGGUCACUGUCCCUGCUUCCCCACCGAGAGAAGUAGCCGAGACCCCGACCAGGCCUGCGCUCCCUUGGCACUCAGCAUCUCCCAGCCACGACAGCACCGGUGGCUCAGAAAUAAGGUCCCGGGACAGAUGUGCCCGGCCAGACAGCGAGCUCUCCUGCCAGACCAGAGCCUCUUCUCUCCCCAGCACCCAGCCGGAAGCAGGGCUGGGAACAGGCACCGUGCGUGUCCGUGGAGGAUGAGAGCGCGACUUUGGGACCGGCCCUACCCCACAGCCUCACGGAGGGAACGGGUCCAGGCGGGGUGCUUUCUGUGAAGCCUAUGGCUGUUAGCAGAGCGCCCUGAAACCCCACCACUAGGCCGGACGCGGUGGCUCAGGCCUGUCUGUAAUCCCAGCACUUUGGGCGACCGAGGCAGUGGAUGACCUGAGGUCAGGAGGCUGAGGCAGGAUCAUGAGGUCAGGAGUUUGAGACCAGCCUGACCAACAUGGUGAAACCCCGUCUCUACUAAAAGUACAAAAAUUAGCCGGCAUGGUGGCGGGCGCCUGUGAUCCCAGCUACUCGGGAGGCUUAUGCAGGAGAAUCGCUUGAACUCAGGGGGUGGAGGUUGCAGUGAGCCGAGAUUGCACCACUGCACUCCAGCCUGGGUGACAGAGCAAGACUCCAUCUUAAAAAACAAAAAACAAAAAAAACACCACUUGUCUGACCCUGUUCAAGGAGGAAAGCUCUUAUGGAAGUUUUUCAUCUUUGGGAGGCCAAGGAAGUGGGGGCCUGGGGGAUCCCCUCUCAGUUCUGUGCAGAUAAAAUCCCCAGCCCUGGCCCUGCAGUCCUGCUGAGGAGGGACUGGGGGUGCAGGGGGAGGGGGAUUCACACGGGAAAGGAAAUGCCAGCUGGAUCCUACCCCUGCUGCCCGCGCUGUGCAGGACGGAGGAGGCCUUGGUGUCCCUGCAGUAGCUCCGAGCAUGGAGGCCGUGGACCCCAGAGAUGCUCCCUGCAGGACCCCACACUGGGGCUUCCUUGCAGUCGGCCAGCAGGGGGACCUCGCUGUGUCCUCUGGUUGGAGGGUGGCAGCCGCUGCCCCACCUUCCCACCUGGCUGGCAGAACCUUGUCCUGUGUCCCCCAGAAGCUUGCAGCUGCCCCCGCCCCUGUGCGUGGGGGCCCGCCUGGACCGUGGUAAGUGAUUUAACACCUUAACACAGAAAUAAACGCCAAGCGGCUUUAGGGGUGGGUGUUUCGGUCACAUAAUGCAACACAUGCGGUAAUGUAAAUAAAGGCGUUAUCACCAGA
RNAcentral lists this long non-coding RNA (2165 nucleotides) under Macaca fascicularis (crab-eating macaque). RNAcentral describes it as "lncRNA (ENSMFAG00000063475.1)". Lineage: Eukaryota; Metazoa; Chordata; Mammalia; Primates; Cercopithecidae. The record is from RNAcentral.